GACGAACGCUGGCGGCGUGCUUAACACAUGCAAGUCGAACGGAAAGGCCCUGCUUUUGUGGGGUGCUCGAGUGGCGAACGGGUGAGUAACACGUGAGUAACCUGCCCUUGACUUUGGGAUAACUUCAGGAAACUGGGGCUAAUACCGGAUAGGAGCUCCUGCUGCAUGGUGGGGGUUGGAAAGUUUCGGCGGUUGGGGAUGGACUCGCGGCUUAUCAGCUUGUUGGUGGGGUAGUGGCUUACCAAGGCUUUGACGGGUAGCCGGCCUGAGAGGGUGACCGGCCACAUUGGGACUGGGAUACGGCCCAGACUCCUACGGGAGGCAGCAGUGGGGAAUAUUACACAGUGGGCGGAAGCCUGAUGCAGCAACGCCGCGUGCGGGAUGACGGCCUUCGGGUUGUAAACCGCUUUCGCCUGUGACGAAGCGUGAGUGACGGUAAUGGGUAAAGAAGCACCGGCUAACUACGUG
RNAcentral lists this ribosomal RNA (468 nucleotides) under uncultured bacterium. RNAcentral's name for it is "partial 16S ribosomal RNA". It matches the Rfam family "Bacterial small subunit ribosomal RNA", at positions 28 to 507 of the family's 1533-position model. The record is from RNAcentral.